GGGGGCGAAACAGGAUCGACAAGGGUGUAAAGAUCGCUCUUUUACUCGGCAUGAUACCACCGUUAUCGGGUCAACAGAGUAGUUGCAAAUGACAACAAUGCUCAGGGUUAUGCUCUCGCUGCCUAAUGGCGGUGCGGGAAACCCACUCUAAAGUCCUUAGGGUUAGCCCCUUUAGGCGGGGUUCGGAGGCACCUGGCAACAGAAGCCUCCACU
This 213-nucleotide transfer-messenger RNA is filed under the name Brucella ovis ATCC 25840. RNAcentral's name for it is "transfer-messenger RNA Bruce_ovis_25840". It matches the Rfam family "Alphaproteobacteria transfer-messenger RNA", at positions 148 to 355 of the family's 355-position model. From Rfam's summary of the family: Bacterial tmRNA, also known as 10Sa RNA or SsrA, is named for its dual tRNA and mRNA-like properties. Its role is to liberate the mRNA from a stalled ribosome. To accomplish this part of the tmRNA is used as a reading frame that ends in a translation stop signal. The record is from RNAcentral. RNAcentral also lists the same sequence under 15 other names. Lineage: Bacteria; Pseudomonadati; Pseudomonadota; Alphaproteobacteria; Hyphomicrobiales; Brucellaceae.